UACAACGCUAAUGUCAUUGCGCGCCAACGG
Molecule: non-coding RNA, 30 nt
Filed under: Mus musculus (house mouse)
Lineage: Eukaryota; Metazoa; Chordata; Mammalia; Rodentia; Muridae
Source: RNAcentral